This is a long non-coding RNA of Rhinopithecus roxellana (golden snub-nosed monkey), 440 nucleotides long. RefSeq lists it as uncharacterized. The record is from RefSeq and is a predicted model, not a curated record. Lineage: Eukaryota; Metazoa; Chordata; Mammalia; Primates; Cercopithecidae. The transcript is spliced from 4 exons.
AAAAAUACGGGAUAAUUCACGCCGGCGACGAAUUCACAGCGAAAUAGAAAAAAUAAAAAUCAGAAGAAAAUAAUUGCCAAAAAAAGGAAAAAGGAAAAGCGAGAGAGACAUCCAAAGUAGAUGAAAGUCAAGAGAAAAGGUGUGGAUAAAUGAAACUAGCCCAUGAUGAACCUGUUUUCUCUGUGACCACAAUAUGAACCAGGAUAAUGGUGGUGGCAGUGGGCCUGCAUCACAGUUUGCAGCAGAUGUUCUCAAUAUUUCUAUUAAAAUUUCCUUAUUUCCAUAUGCAAGAGGAGCCCCAGAGCUGCAUCCUUAUGGUAGCUACCAUGCCAUGAUGUAAGCUGCCAUUCACUGGGAGCUUUGGCAAGAGAAUUGGCUAGAUCAGCAAGCCCAUCUCCACUAUGGAACAACAACUUGCAGCUCAUCUCUAUUGAUGGUGA